RNAcentral lists this ribosomal RNA (384 nucleotides) under uncultured prokaryote. RNAcentral describes it as "bacterial SSU rRNA". It matches the Rfam family "Archaeal small subunit ribosomal RNA", at positions 341 to 725 of the family's 1478-position model. The record is from RNAcentral.
GCGAAAACUUUACAAUGCUGGCAACAGCGAUAAGGGAACCUCGAGUGCCAGGUUACAAAUCUGGCUGUCGAGAUGCCUAAAAAGCAUUUCAUAGCAAGGGCCGGGCAAGACCGGUGCCAGCCGCCGCGGUAACACCGGCGGCUCGAGUGGUAACCGUUAUUAUUGGGUCUAAAGGGUCUGUAGCCGGCCGGAUAAGUCUCUUGAGAAAUCUGGCAGCUUAACUGUCAGGCUUUCAGGAGAUACUGUCUGGCUCGAGGCCGGGAGAGGUGAGAGGUACUUCAGGGGUAGGGGUGAAAUCUUGUAAUCCUUGAAGGACCACCAGUGGAGAAGGCGUCUCACCAGAACGGCCCUGACGGCCAUCGACGACAGCUAGGGGCACUAACA